RNAcentral lists this unclassified non-coding RNA (220 nucleotides) under uncultured fungus. RNAcentral describes it as "sequence contains ITS1, 5.8S rRNA gene". The stretch from base 172 to 220 matches the Rfam family "5.8S ribosomal RNA", at positions 1 to 49 of the family's 154-position model. Lineage: Eukaryota; Fungi. The record is from RNAcentral.
UUUCCGUAGGUGAACCUGCGGGAGGAUCAUUAUCAAAACAGCGGACUUCGGUCCUUGCUGCACCCUUGUCUUUUGCGUACCGUAUGUUUCCUCGGCGGGCUUGCCUGCCGGUUGGACAAUAUCAAACCUUUUUGUAGUUGCAAUCAGCGUCAGAAACAAAACAAUAAUUACAACUUUCAGCAACGGAUCUCUUGGCUCUCCCAUCGAUGAAGAACGCAGC